GCCGGCGCCGUAGCGCGAGCGACGCUCACACACAGAGAGACGGCGGCGCUACGCUGUGUGCGCAAGGCGGCCGGCCUAAAGCGCGCGGAUCAGAACCAAGCAGCAGAUAAGAGAAGCAUUCACAUGAAUGGCCAUGCGAUGAAGAACUUAGUCCUUGCUGCUCCCCUUUAAUGUUAAAGUGAAGGAGGCUGUGGUCAAUAGUACAAAUCUGACCCAGGUAAGGAGUAGGCUUACAAUGACAGUAGUCACAGCAUGUAAUAUGGAGUUUACAUUGGCUCUGUGACUGUAUAGUAGCUUUAUUUUGGCUGUGGAAGGAUAAAAAUGAUUUAAUACGACAUAAUAUUAGAAUGGCAUAGAGUGAUACACCUAAUCUGCCAAACAGACUGCCAGUGCAAAAUUACCCAGUUAAACCUUUUUGAUAAAUUAGACCUAGAAAAGUAAGUUUGUUCUGGACCACUGGUUUGUAUCAUGUGACCUUUUUUGGCAUUUUUGCUACAUCUGGCUUUUUGAUUCAGUAUUCAAAGACCUACACAAGAAUUUAUCAUAUCACUGGACUAUGUUAAAUCAAAGCAACAAACCAGAAAUUAAACUUUCUGUGCUACUGUUUCCAUGAGAAAACGUCCUGCUAAAAUUUGAAUUCUGAAUCUGUAAGCAUAGGUAUUUGAACCAGGAUAUUGACUUGCAGAGAUAAAAACACCUGGUUUAAGAACAGAAAGAACAGAAACAUAUCACAACUAUGUCAAAACAAAACUAAUGAAUAGAGCCAGCACUUUGAAUAGUCCUUCUGAACUGUCCACACUAAGCCUAUAGAGCAAAGCUCCAAUGCUGAAUAAUUUUUAGAAAAUCGUGAACUUAGAGACAAACUUGGCGCAAGAAAGUACUUUCAGGCUGAAACUAUCACAGCCCAUUCCAGUUUUUGCCUCCUAAUCUUUGCAAAAUCAGGCAAGACUCAGUCAACUUGAUUUUGAUACCCAGUGGUCUCUCUUCUAGUUCUGUAUCUGUUAAUGAGUCCUCUCAGAGCACUACAUCUCUCCAACAUCCUCCAAGAUCCUCUUACCUAUAUCUUAGAUAUUGGGUGAUUUUCAAAAUAUUUGCAGGUUCACAAUAUCUCAUGUAGAGUUGCCUGCUGUUGGCCAAGGCAGGAAUUUCCCUCAGACAGGAUGACAGCCUGUUCUUGAUGUCAUGGAAGAUCUCUAGUACUUGGUUACUGUUAUCCUAGAUCACCUUCUGGAACUGGAGCAGAUCAAGAUACUUCUAAACAGUGGCAAGAGGCACCUAAAACUAAUCUUGAUUGAUUGACUUUAGCCUUUUCCAGACAGUUAAAUAUAUGCUGUUUUUCCAUCCCUCUGUGCUAAAAUUGCUGUGAGUUUUGAACAUUGUGAGAAUCAUUUCCACCAUGGGAUCUCAAUAUUCUUGCUACUCUCGUGGUCAUGCUUAGACCUGAGAUUUAGAUCUGAGGCAUUUUAUUCCUUGGCUCAUUUGUCUCUAAUGCAAAAAAUCUUAGUCUUACUGCAGGUACAGUGAUUAUGUCAUUCUUCACACUGCUGUCUCUGCAAUCAGAAGGGUGGAUGAGAUGCAUCUGAGGGUGCUGAGAGAUGACAGCAUAGCAAAGCUGCCUUGACUGCUUCGCUAAAGUCAAUAGCAGCUGUUUGAAGAUGCCCAGAAAAGAAGGGUACUCCAGCAGAGAAGGGGAGAGCAAGCCUAUGAAUGGACCCCUUUGAUCAAAAGUUCGCUGCAGCCAUUAAUGUAUUGGCUCUCUCCAUGUGUGCCAAAAUCUGUCUUAAAACAAUAGCAUAGCAGGCAUCACAAAAACGUGUUCUGUUCAGUCUGGCUCCUGAGCUGGUGAGAGCAGGGGGACCGGGCAAAGGUGUUUGACCAGACUUCCGGAUUGCGUUCCAGAGCACGAGGCAAACGGGAGAUUAAACUUUAAGCAAGGAGUUAUGAAUUGCCACCCUGCUUCUGGAUGGAAGUCAGAUGAGGACCUGGAAGGUACAGGGACAAGAACAGGGAGAGUCCCUGUGAGGUCUGCCGUAUCUGAGUGCUGUGAUUGCUGCUGUGCUAUUACAUGGUACAGACUGGCCAGCUGUGCGAACGGCCGUGGAGGUGGAUGAAUACCUGGAAGCUGAGCAGAAUCUCUGUGUUCUGGCUGCAGUUACCCAGUGUUGGACGAACAGGUUCCGAGGAUAUCCUUGUUACAUCUCUUGGGCCAAAAUUCUGUGUAGCACUGAAGAUUCUUCAGUGAUGACCUUGUUGCAUUGCCAUGAAGACUUCAUCAGAUUUGGAUGAAAACAAGGAAACGGCUUUUCUCUGAUUUCCAAAUGGAGAAGUAGGAGGAGAAGUAGACCUGCUGGACUACCCCACCCCUCUUACAUGAGCAUGUUGGAGCAAAGGAAAGGAGUUUCCGCCCACAAUAAAUCAGCAGUACACUGGCAUAUGCUACAGCAGGACAUUUCUCUUGCAGAGCAUGGGUGAAGUCAGAAGACAUAUUCUGAGUCACAGUUUGCCUUCUGGCUCAAAUUAUUGGCAAGCUUGGUAGUUUUGAAUUGGAAAUGAAGAAUAGAUUUCUUAUUUCCUAUUGAGGAUGCUGAGCUGACAUUUCUUACCAAUCACAUGUUCCUCUGGACCCGUUUCAGGAGCUCAAAGAGAUCUAGCUCAUCUUGUCUAGUGACAAGCAAAAUAAGAGAAUGAACCCUGGCACAUUUUUAUGUUACUUGCCAAAUAUUUGCAAUUGAAUUCUGGAUUUCUCUCCGUUGUUACAAAGAAGCUGUGGAGCAUUUGGUGCACAUGUGCUUCCUGACCUUUCGUACAAGACCAAUUUUGCUGUUGAUUAGUUUACUAUUUUUCAUUGCCAGAUUCUACCACAUUAAUUUGUCAAAGUAGUUUAAUUUGCCAGUACUUAGAAGCCCCCUUCCUCGUCUCUGUUUAAAAAGAAGAAAAAUAAAAAGAGUGAGUAGAUCUUUGUCAUUACCUGCAACGUUUUUAUCUUAAAUCACAGAAUGAGUCCCAGCUGGCCAGUCCAUUGGGCAUUCUGCCUACUGGCUGAGUAAAGAACUGAAGUGAGGCAUUGGGGAAUACUGAAAUUCCUGCUUCCACUGAAGACAGCGGGAAUGCUGCCACUUACUUAAUGUUGCUGGUUCAUUGUAAUAUAUCAAAUGAAAAAUCUAAAGUAAAAUUCAACUGUUGAAUUUUCUGUUACCUAAACUGUGCUUUCUAGUGAAAGAGAUACUAAUAAAAGAAAAGACGUAGCCUGACAAGAUGGCCUUGUACAAAUGCACACUGCAAUAAGUGAACAAAGGAAUCAAGGAGACAACAAUUAUCUGUGACUAUUAUAUAAUAUUAUUUUGGUGGCUGCACAGUAACAGUAGAUUUUCCUCUCAGAGGCAUAAUAUCAAUUUGCUCAUUCUGUCUGAGGUUUUGGUCUACCUUGAAAAGGAUAAUUAAACACUUCACAACUGUUUAAUAGUGAAAACAAAAACAAUAGCAGGGAUUUUAGGUGAGCAGCAUGGGAAUAGAAAACAUUACACUAUUCUGCCAAUACAGUAGAAAAUUUACUAUUAUGCCUUAAGAAAACCUUGUUGUUUCAGUAAUACCAAAUUCAUUUAUUGCUCUUAAUAAAUUUUCUUUCAUGAAGAUAAAAUGCCUUUUAAAGUGCACUUUUGAGACUAAUGAUCAUACCAGGGUUUCUAGUAGGCAGAGGAGACAGGGUGCAGCUCAAUCCAGUAGAAUUUCAAGUCUGGAGAGCUGAAAUGCAUUACAAGAAAGAGAAGAGAGUGGGCUAGAAAGCAGACAUUCAGCCAGUUUUAUUCCUGUGUCCCAUCUGAGUCUGCCCACUUCUGUACUGGCUCCGCUUCGUUUCCCUUCUCUCAUCUACUCUUUGAGUUGUCUACACCAUGGAAAAUGCCUUAUUUCACUGCUUUGUUAAUGCAAGCUAUUGGGACUGCUGCAAAAGGCCCAAAGGAAGGCUGCAAGCCAUAAUGUACUGCAGUUUAACUGCAUGCUAUUUUAUCAUCUGUAUUAAUUAGGACCUCUGGAUGAGGCCUCAAAGAGUUCUUAAUUAUUAUAGUCACGGUGACACUUUAUUUAGUGAAAUUUAUAUUCAGCACCUAUCUUCCACUUCUGUAAAAAUGUGCUGCAAAUAUUACUUUGUAUAUUAUAUAUUACUGUAGCAACUUCAUAGAAAAUAGAAAAUAAUUACCACUAUAAACAUAGCAAGAUGAAAUUUUAUCCAUCUACAAGUUAAGAAGAAACAAAAACAUUGGUUCUGCUCUUGGCAAAAAGUACUAAAGAGGGAAGGCAUUUCUGAAAUGAUUUUUCAAAACAAAAUAAGCUUUCCUGCUUCAAAUUGUCAGAUGUUUUUUCCAAUUGUAGCUAUGAUUUUUUUAAAAAGCCUAUUGAAUUAAAUCAGCCAUAUUUGUUUUACUAAUUUGUCAAUACUUAGAGUAAGGAGAAUUCUUUGGCAGAUGACUUGCCUAAUUUUGAUAUUAUUCAGGAUGUUUAUUUGAAUCUUUGAAAGCAUCAUCAGAUUUAUGUACGUUUUGAAAAUGCCAUAAACCAAAACAUUUAAUUUAGAAUGAUGAAGUCUACAAAUGCAAUCAUUCAUGAGAUCUGGUUUGGGGAAUUUAGAAAUUUAAUAGGAAUAACUGAUGUGAUUUUAAAUCUCUUUAAAACAAAUAGAUUUACUGUUAAAAUUCUUCAAGGACUGUUUCUUCAGAUGUGUUUGUACAGCUCCCUUCCAAACUGGACUGUAAAACAUUGUCAGAUUGAGAAAUACAUUGAUAAUUGCAAUUUC
Dromaius novaehollandiae (emu) is the source of this 4789-nucleotide long non-coding RNA. RefSeq lists it as uncharacterized. The transcript is spliced from 5 exons. The record is from RefSeq and is a predicted model, not a curated record. NCBI's taxonomy places the organism in Eukaryota, Metazoa, Chordata, Aves, Casuariiformes, Dromaiidae.